AAACCAAUAAAUACUUGAUGCAGG
Molecule: non-coding RNA, 24 nt
Filed under: Cricetulus griseus (Chinese hamster)
Lineage: Eukaryota; Metazoa; Chordata; Mammalia; Rodentia; Cricetidae
Source: RNAcentral